This 961-nucleotide ribosomal RNA is filed under the name Limosilactobacillus fermentum. Its description in RNAcentral is "bacterial SSU rRNA". It matches the Rfam family "Bacterial small subunit ribosomal RNA", at positions 51 to 967 of the family's 1533-position model. Lineage: Bacteria; Bacillati; Bacillota; Bacilli; Lactobacillales; Lactobacillaceae. The record is from RNAcentral.
AUACAUGCAAGUCGAACGCGUUGGCCCAAUUGAUUGAUGGUGCUUGCACCUGAUUGAUUUUGGUCGCCAACGAGUGGCGGACGGGUGAGUAACACGUAGGUAACCUGCCCAGAAGCGGGGGACAACAUUUGGAAACAGAUGCUAAUACCGCAUAACAACGUUGUUCGCAUGAACAACGCUUAAAAGAUGGCUUCUCGCUAUCACUUCUGGAUGGACCUGCGGUGCAUUAGCUUGUUGGUGGGGUAAUGGCCUACCAAGGCGAUGAUGCAUAGCCGAGUUGAGAGACUGAUCGGCCACAAUGGGACUGAGACACGGCCCAUACUCCUACGGGAGGCAGCAGUAGGGAAUCUUCCACAAUGGGCGCAAGCCUGAUGGAGCAACACCGCGUGAGUGAAGAAGGGUUUCGGCUCGUAAAGCUCUGUUGUUAAAGAAGAACACGUAUGAGAGUAACUGUUCAUACGUUGACGGUAUUUAACCAGAAAGUCACGGCUAACUACGUGCCAGCAGCCGCGGUAAUACGUAGGUGGCAAGCGUUAUCCGGAUUUAUUGGGCGUAAAGAGAGUGCAGGCGGUUUUCUAAGUCUGAUGUGAAAGCCUUCGGCUUAACCGGAGAAGUGCAUCGGAAACUGGAUAACUUGAGUGCAGAAGAGGGUAGUGGAACUCCAUGUGUAGCGGUGGAAUGCGUAGAUAUAUGGAAGAACACCAGUGGCGAAGGCGGCUACCUGGUCUGCAACUGACGCUGAGACUCGAAAGCAUGGGUAGCGAACAGGAUUAGAUACCCUGGUAGUCCAUGCCGUAAACGAUGAGUGCUAGGUGUUGGAGGGUUUCCGCCCUUCAGUGCCGGAGCUAACGCAUUAAGCACUCCGCCUGGGGAGUACGACCGCAAGGUUGAAACUCAAAGGAAUUGACGGGGGCCCGCACAAGCGGUGGAGCAUGUGGUUUAAUUCGAAGCUACGCGAAGA